AAGUCGUAACAAGGUUUCCGUAGGUGAACCUGCGGAAGGAUCAUUAAUGAAAUAGUAGAUUUCGAUCUCUCUUUCCCUUUGUGAAGACACUGACAACUAGUAAAACUCUUGGGGUUUAAACAUGUCGCAUUCAGCAAUGAAUGAAACGACCCCAAAGGUUUCUAAUUAAACCCAUUUAUUAUCUAUUUGACUGAAAAAUAAUCAAUUGAAACAAAUGAUUGAAAUAACUUUCAACAACGGAUCUCUUGGUUCUC
RNAcentral lists this unclassified non-coding RNA (254 nucleotides) under fungal sp. RNAcentral's name for it is "partial internal transcribed spacer region". The stretch from base 1 to 46 matches the Rfam family "Eukaryotic small subunit ribosomal RNA", at positions 1786 to 1831 of the family's 1831-position model. The record is from RNAcentral. Lineage: Eukaryota; Fungi.